GUGCUUACAUCGGCAUCACAUAUAUUAAAAUUGGAACGAUACAGAGAAAAUUAGUAUGGCCCCUGUGCAAGGAUGACAUGCAAAUUCAUGAAGCUUUCCAUAUUUUU
Small nuclear RNA from Erinaceus europaeus (western European hedgehog), 107 nucleotides. NCBI's taxonomy places the organism in Eukaryota, Metazoa, Chordata, Mammalia, Eulipotyphla, Erinaceidae. The record is from Ensembl.